UUCCGGUUGAUCCUGCCGGACCUGACUGCUAUCGGAUUGAUACUAAGCCAUGCGAGUCUUUGUAGUAAUACAAGGCAUACGGCUCAGUAACGCGUAGUCAACCUACCCUAUGGACAAGAAUAAUCUCGGGAAACUGAGCAUAAUUCUUGAUAGAUCAUAAUGCCUGGAAUGGUUUAUGGUUAAAAUGAUUCGUCGCCAUAGGAUGGGACUGCGGCCUAUCAGCUUGUUGGUGAGGUAAUGGCCCACCAAGGCGAUUACAGGUACGGGCUCUGAGAGGAGAAGCCCGGAGAUGGGUACUGAGACAAGGACCCAGGCCCUAUGGGGCGCAGCAGGCGAGAAAACUUUGCAAUGUGCGAAAGCACGACAAGGUUAGUCCGAGUGAUUUCUGCUAAAGAGAUCUUUUGCUAGUUAUAAAACCACUAGUGAAUAAGGGGUGGGCAAGUUCUGGUGUCAGCCGCCGCGGUAAACCAGCACCUCAAGUGGUCAGGAUGAUUAUUGGGCCUUAAGCAUCCGUAGCCGGCUCUGUAAGUUUUCGGUUAAAUCUAUACGCUCAACGUAUGGGCUGCCGAAAAUACUGUAGAGAUAGGGAGUGGGAGAGGUAGACGGUACUCGGUAGGAAGGGGUAAAAUCCUUUGAUCUAUCGAUGGCCACCUGUGGCGAAGGCGGUCUACCAGAACACGUUCGACGGUGAGGGAUGAAAGCUGGGGGAGCAAACCGGAUUAGAUACCCGGGUAGUCCCAGCUGUAAACGAUGCAGACUCGAUGAUGCAUUGGCAUAUAGCCAGUGCAGUGUCGCAGGGAAGCCGUUAAGUCUGCCGCCUGGGAAGUACAGUACGCAAGUAUGAAACUUAAAGGAAUUGGCGGGGGAGCACCACAAGGGGUGAAGCCUGCGGUUCAAUUGGAUUCAACGCCGGG
This 914-nucleotide ribosomal RNA is filed under the name uncultured marine archaeon DCM873. RNAcentral describes it as "bacterial SSU rRNA". It matches the Rfam family "Archaeal small subunit ribosomal RNA", at positions 1 to 922 of the family's 1478-position model. The record is from RNAcentral.